AAUGUGUAUCUUUAUUGGAGAUGUGCGCUUAAUUGCGCUGCUUCAUUAGAGUGUCGCAGUAGAAGUAGUCUUGCUUGAAUCUCAGUCAACGUUUACACACAUUGGAGUUUUUUACUUUAAUUUAAUUCUUUCUGCUUUGAAUCGAAAGGUUCAAGGCAAAAAACAAACACAAACAAUUUUAUUUUAUUAUAAUUUUUUAAACUAAACCAAAAUUCCUAACGGAAAUUUUAAAAUAAUUUAAAACUUUCAACAACGGAUCUCUUGGUUCUCGCAUCGAUGAAGAACGUAGCGAAUUGCGAUAAGUAAUGUGAAUUGCAGAUACUCGUGAAUCAUUGAAUUUUUGAACGCACAUUGCGCCCUUGAGCAUUCUCAAGGGCAUGCCUGUUUGAGCGUCAUUUCCUUCUCAAAAGAUAAUUUUUUAUUUUUUGGUUGUGGGCGAUACUCAGGGUUAGCUUGAAAUUGGAGACUGUUUCAGUCUUUUUUAAUUCAACACUUAGCUUCUUUGGAGACGCUGUUCUCGCUGUGAUGUAUUUAUGGAUUUAUUCGUUUUACUUUACAAGGGAAAUGGUAAUGUACCUUAGGCAA
RNAcentral lists this unclassified non-coding RNA (585 nucleotides) under Hanseniaspora opuntiae. RNAcentral describes it as "sequence contains ITS1, 5.8S rRNA gene, ITS2". The stretch from base 242 to 395 matches the Rfam family "5.8S ribosomal RNA". Lineage: Eukaryota; Fungi; Ascomycota; Saccharomycetes; Saccharomycodales; Saccharomycodaceae. The record is from RNAcentral.